Molecule: ribosomal RNA, 253 nt
Filed under: uncultured bacterium
Lineage: Bacteria
Description: partial 16S ribosomal RNA
Rfam family: Bacterial small subunit ribosomal RNA
Source: RNAcentral
UACGUAGGGUGCGAGCGUUGUCCGGAAUUAUUGGGCGUAAAGGGCUCGUAGGCGGUCUGUCACGUCGGGAGUGAAAACUCAGGGCUUAACCCUGAGCCUGCUUCCGAUACGGGCUGACUAGAGGUAUGCAGGGGAGAACGGAAUUCCUGGUGUAGCGGUGAAAUGCGCAGAUAUCAGGAGGAACACCGGUGGCGAAGGCGGUUCUCUGGGCAUCACCUGACGCUGAGGAGCGAAAGUGUGGGGAGCGAACAGG